CAUCCUAGUACUACUCUCG
This 19-nucleotide small nuclear RNA is filed under the name Arabidopsis thaliana (thale cress). RNAcentral describes it as "snRNA_01514". Lineage: Eukaryota; Viridiplantae; Streptophyta; Magnoliopsida; Brassicales; Brassicaceae. The record is from RNAcentral.